This is a long non-coding RNA of Conger conger (European conger), 573 nucleotides long. RefSeq lists it as uncharacterized. The record is from RefSeq and is a predicted model, not a curated record. Lineage: Eukaryota; Metazoa; Chordata; Actinopteri; Anguilliformes; Congridae. The transcript has 4 exons.
UUUGCUAUGAAUAGAGACAAACCACAUACACUAGAGGUUGUUGUGGACUCCUGGCCUGAUUUUAAAACCAUCAUUUGUCGACCGCACCAAAAGAGUGAACACACCCUGCUUUAUAAUGAGGAACUGACUUUCUUCAGUACUGAUGAGAAGGUUCUUAAGAGAAUGUUGACAGAAGACAGCAUCUUAGAUUGGAAUAAAUACUUCAAAAUUGGAGGGAUUGACAUGCUUCAUACCACCAUGUUGAAGGACAUUUCUGCCUCAAAAGAUGUCACAAUGAGACCGUGUGGUGUAACUCACCUCCUGGAAUUACAAGACCCAAAUCACCUUCCUCACCUGACAGUGAGCAGAGAUGUGGAGGCCAGGAUCUCCUCUGUGACUGAAUCCCAUGUCGGUUUGGUGAAUAAAUCCUGGAAACGUGGAGGUGAUGAAAAUGGUUUCCAAGUAAUCAAACAUCUGAUAAGCCACUUCCCCACAUGUUGCAUCACUGAUGAAGAAGGCCGUCCAGUUUCCUGGGUGCUGCUGUAUGAUUACUGUGCCAUGGGGAUGGUGUACACCCUGCCAGAGCACAGGGGG